Molecule: unclassified non-coding RNA, 22 nt
Filed under: Mus musculus (house mouse)
Lineage: Eukaryota; Metazoa; Chordata; Mammalia; Rodentia; Muridae
Description: oocyte_clustered_small_RNA7566
Source: RNAcentral
UAAACUAGCCAGUAUACCCUUG